UAACCACUCAAGCCUCGGCUUGGUCUUGGUGUUGGGGCCUGCUGUUACCGGCAGCCCUUAAAACUAGUGGCGGUGCCACCUGGCUCUAAGCGUAGUAAUACUUCUCGCUAUAGAGUCCCGGUGGAUGCUUGCCAUCAACCCCUAAUUUUCUAU
This 153-nucleotide unclassified non-coding RNA is filed under the name uncultured Leohumicola. Its description in RNAcentral is "sequence contains ITS2". The record is from RNAcentral. Lineage: Eukaryota; Fungi; Ascomycota; Leotiomycetes.